Drosophila innubila is the source of this 124-nucleotide long non-coding RNA. RefSeq lists it as uncharacterized. The transcript has 3 exons. The record is from RefSeq and is a predicted model, not a curated record. NCBI's taxonomy places the organism in Eukaryota, Metazoa, Arthropoda, Insecta, Diptera, Drosophilidae.
UCACCAGAAACAACAAUAAUACUAAGAAAACUUUAUGUAUUAGGUGGGCAUAUCGUGCGAAACUUGAGGUAAACCAUUAAAGACAUCGUGGCAAUUGCACAGGAAGCAUUUUUGUUUAAAGGUG